GAUGAACGCUGGCGGCGUGCCUAAUACAUGCAAGUCGAGCGAACGGACGAGAAGCUUGCUUCUCUGAUGUUAGCGGCGGACGGGUGAGUAACACGUGGAUAACCUACCUAUAAGACUGGGAUAACUUCGGGAAACCGGAGCUAAUACCGGAUAAUAUUUUGAACCGCAUGGUUCAAAAGUGAAAGACGGUCUUGCUGUCACUUAUAGAUGGAUCCGCGCUGCAUUAGCUAGUUGGUAAGGUAACGGCUUACCAAGGCAACGAUGCAUAGCCGACCUGAGAGGGUGAUCGGCCACACUGGAACUGGGACACGGUCCAGACUCCUACGGGAGGCAGCAGUAGGGAAUCUUCCGCAAUGGGCGAAAGCCUGACUGAGCAACGCCGCGUGAGUGAUGGAGGUCUUCGGAUCGUAAAACUCUGUUAUUAGGGAAGAACAUAUGUGUAAGUAACUGUGCACAUCUUGACGGUACCUAAUCAGAAAGCCACGGCUAACUACGUG
RNAcentral lists this ribosomal RNA (497 nucleotides) under uncultured bacterium. RNAcentral describes it as "partial 16S ribosomal RNA". It matches the Rfam family "Bacterial small subunit ribosomal RNA", at positions 28 to 507 of the family's 1533-position model. The record is from RNAcentral.